UACUCCUCGCCGGCUGCGCGAGCGGAUACCUGGGCGCAGCGCCGCGGGCUGUGCGAUGUUUCUGUGGGACGCUCGUCCCGGGCCCCUCCUGCUGUUCCUGGGCACGGCCGUCCGAUACCAAGAAGGCCCUUCCAGAUAGACAUGUCUGAGCUCGAGGGCAGCUGUAGUGAGCCCUGGUGGCCCGGAAGGCUUUAUGGGGUUUUCACAUCGGUUCCGUCCCUUCAUCCUCACACCGCCACGGUGGGCCUCCAUCCCUGGCCAAUUUGAGAUUGAGAAGCCGAAGCCUCAUAGAGCGGCCCCUUAAGAUGCAGGGUGGAGAGGAGGCAUGUCUCAACUGCCGCCAUCCGGGCACGUGGGGGGGAGGGGAAAGGGAGAGUCCAUGGCAGGUUCCAGAGAGCAGUGACGUUAGGGAGCUGGCCUGGCACACAGCUGGGCCUCGGUGUUCUGUUGAAUAUACACAGGUUCAUAAAACGUCGACAUCAGGCUCUGAUGACUGAUCAAGCCAAAACCGAGGCCCCUCUCUUCAUGUCUGAACACAGACGAAAAGACGAGCGUUGGCCAAGCCACAAAAGUGACCAAACAUCCUUCUGUCUUGGCCAAUAAGAGUGACUGCUGCUUCUUUACCAAUUACAAGUUUAGGAUUUCUCUAGUCUUCCUGCCUUUGAGAUACGAUUUAUUAAGACAUCCAGUCAAGGAAUUGCCUCCUUUUCCUGGCAUAAUCCAAUCCAGAGCAAAGCCCUGCUUCCUUAAAUGUUUCCCCAAAUCAACUAACACAGACCCAAAUGUUGUAAGUCCUCUGCAUGUCCCUUUACUGAGGUUGCCCGUGGUAAUAGUCUCCCUGGCUGGGAUGAGUAAUAACCCAAUUCCGACGACUGCAGGUGUGUUUCUGGUGAUCUCUGGCUGAGGACAUUGUUGGGCCCAGUGGGCCUUCAUGCCUCUCAUCUACUUGCCCGCUCACUCACCACUAUUUGAAACCCUCACUGCUCUCUGCUCUCCCUUUAACAGAUGAACUGCCUCAUCCCUGCAGAAAUGCUCUAAAGUAGCAAUACAGUCCCAUUUCCUCACCUCUCAUCCACUUCUCAGCCCACCCCAAACUAGCUUCACCUCAUCACUUCCCCAAAACAGUUCCUGCUAAGCUCACCAGUCAUUUCCCACUCUGUGGCUAAAUGGAGGUGAUGUUUUUAGUCGUCACCAUACAUGAAUCCCAGCAGUAUGACACGGUCAGUGUCUCUUUCCCUUUGGUUUGUGGAACACAUCGCUCUCCUGGUUUGACGCCUGUUCUCUGUCUGCUUUGCAGGCCCACGUCUUCUGCCCGGCGAUUAACUGAUGGCAUUCUUUAAGACUUGAUCCUGGGUCCUCCUCAUGCCACACUCCCUCCUUCGGCAAAUCUCAUCCACACUUGGCUUGAAUUACCACUCAUCUAAACGUGGUUCAUUAAUUUAUGUUUCCUACCAGCUCCAGAUCCCCAUGUUCAAAUAUCACUCAUGUGACAUCUAUUGGAUGUCUCAAAGAUACUGAAACCCACACCAAGUGGAAGAAGUUAACUGUAUGCUGCCCACAAGCACAUAGACCCCAAACCAGUUGGAACCAGAAGGUUGAUGGUGCUGAUUCCCAAUUACCUCACCACCAACCAAUCAGAAGAAUGUCCAUGAGCUGACCACGCCCUGUUCCUUGAACUCUGUAAGACUCCUCACUCCCCCCUCCAGGGAGGGACACACAGUCUUGAGGGAAGUAGCCUGCUGUGGCCCCCUUUGCCUGGCAAAGCAAUAAAGCUAUUUCUUUCUAGUUCACCCAAAACUGUCUCCGAGAUUUAAUCCAGCGCCGGUGUACAGAGGCCAAGUUUCAGCAACACUAAGAGACUCUCUCCUGCUGACUUUGAAGAAGCAAGACACCGUGCUGUGAGCUGCAGAAUGGAGAGGGCCACAGCGAGGGCCCGAGGGUGGCUUCCGGCUGACGGAGGCGGAGGGCUUCAAUCCAGGAGCGCACAAGGAAAUGAGUGCUGCAACAGCCGGUGAGCUUGGAAGCUGGUCCUUCCGAGUCGAGCCUCAGAUGAGACUCCUGUCCAGGCCCACACCUUGACUGCAGCCUUGCAGAGGACUCUAUCGUGCCUGGACUCCUGAACCGUGGAAACUGUGCCAUAACAGUGGAUGUGGUUUUAAGCUGCUCGAUCAUGGUAGGUUCUGAGUCUCCUCCCCUUCAACCUGGGUGAGCUGCGACUACUUGGACGGAUAGAGAGUGGAAGAUGCGCCAUUAUAUGACUUCCAAGGCUAGGUCGUAAAAGGCCCCUCAGCUUCUGCCUGGUUCUCUGGAGGUGCCUGCUCUCGAGGAAGUCAGUCACCAAGUAAGAAGUCCAACUACUCUGAGGCUGCCGUGAUGGAAAAGCCUCACGUAGGCACUGUAUUCAACAACCCUGCCGAGGUGCCAGCCAGCAGCCAGCAGUGAGCGCCAGCCGAGUCGAAUGAGUCAUCUUGGACAUCCAUUCCAGGGAAGGAAACACUCAGACUAGGGUUCUGAGCCCCAGCCAGCAGCUGACUGCAACCUCAUGAGAGACCCCAAGCAAGGACUGCCCAGCUAAGCCCUUUAUGAAAUCCUGACCCACAAAACCACAAGCAAAAUAAAAUAAGGUUUCUUUUUGAAAAU
Orcinus orca (killer whale) is the source of this 2640-nucleotide long non-coding RNA. RefSeq lists it as uncharacterized. The transcript has 3 exons. NCBI's taxonomy places the organism in Eukaryota, Metazoa, Chordata, Mammalia, Artiodactyla, Delphinidae. The record is from RefSeq and is a predicted model, not a curated record.